Molecule: ribosomal RNA, 494 nt
Filed under: uncultured bacterium
Lineage: Bacteria
Description: partial 16S ribosomal RNA
Rfam family: Bacterial small subunit ribosomal RNA
Source: RNAcentral
GACGAACGCUGGCGGCGUGCUUAACACAUGCCAGUCGAACGGAAAGGCCUGCUUUCCCUUGUGGAUUGCGGGUACUCGAGUGGCGAACGGGUGAGUAACACGUGAGUGAUCUGCCCCCAACUUGGGUAUAAGCCUGGGAAACUGGGUCUAAUUCCCGAUAGGACUGCAGGGUGGUGCCUGUGGUGGAAAACGAUUUUCUAGUGGUUGGGGAUGAGCUCGCGGCCUAUCAGCUUGUUGGUGGGGUAAUGGCCUACCAAGGCGGCGACGGGUAGCCGGCCUGAGGUGGUGUACGUGGUCUGUGGGACUGAGCUACGACCCAGACUCCGACGCGCGGCAGCAGUUGCGACUAUUGGCCGAUGGGGGGAAGCCUGAUGCAGCGGCGCAGCGCGGGCGAUGCCAGGCUUCGGGUUGUAAGCUCCUUUCGGCCGCGAGGAAGCCUUCUGGUUGGGAGGGUGGUGACGGUAGUGGUAGAAGAAGCCCCGGCUAACUACGUG